This 434-nucleotide ribosomal RNA is filed under the name uncultured Clostridium sp. Its description in RNAcentral is "partial 16S ribosomal RNA". It matches the Rfam family "Bacterial small subunit ribosomal RNA", at positions 341 to 792 of the family's 1533-position model. The record is from RNAcentral. Lineage: Bacteria; Bacillati; Bacillota; Clostridia; Eubacteriales; Clostridiaceae.
ACGGGAGGCAGCAGUGGGGGAUAUUGCACAAUGGGGGGAACCCUGAUGCAGCGACGCCGCGUGAGCGAAGAAGAUCUUCGGAUUGUAAAGCUCUGUCUUAGGGGACGAUAAUGACGGUACCCUGAGAGGAAGCCCCGGCUAACUACGUGCCAGCAGCCGCGGUAAUACGUAGGGGGCAAGCGUUAUCCGGAUUUACUGGGUGUAAAGGGAGCGUAGACGGCAAAGCAAGUCUGAAGUGAAAUCCCGGGGCUCAACCCUGGAACUGCUUUGGAAACUGUUUAGCUAGAGUGCAGGAGAGGUAAGUGGAAUUCCUAGUGUAGCGGUGAAAUGCGUAGAUAUUAGGAGGAACACCAGUGGCGAAGGCGGCUUACUGGACUGUAACUGACGUUGAGGCUCGAAAGCGUGGGGAGCAAACAGGAUUAGAUACCCUGGUA